UCAAAGCAUGUGCUGAGUUUAGGUGGUCUGCUCCUAGAGCUUCUCUCAGAAGCCCUAGGUUUGAAUUCUAAGAUCCUUAAGAGCAAGGAUUGCUUAAAGUCUUUGCUCAUGCUCGGGCAUUAUUACCCUCCGUGUCCACAACCAGACCUAACUUUAGGGGCAAAUAAACACUCAGACAACUCUUUCCUCACGGUUUUGCUUCAAGAUGACAACAUUGGUGGUCUUCAAGUUCUUCAUCAAGACUCUUGGGUUGAUGUCGCUCCUCUUCCUGGAGCUCUCGUCAUUAACAUCGGGGAUUACUUGCAGGUAAAAAAUAAGAAUCUGAAACAGAUAUGUAAAUACCUUAAAUCUUAAUGCGUUUUGUUUAUAUAUGUUGAAUUUGAAUUUGCAGCUGAUGACGAACGAUAAGUUUGUAAGUUUGGAGCAUAGGGUGCUUGCGAAUAGACAAGGACCAAGGAUUUCGAUAGCAAUCUUUUUCACCUCAAGUAAACGUCCAAAUCCCAACGUUUAUGGACCAAUGAAAGAGCUUGUGUCUGAAGACAACCCUCCUAAAUACAGAGACAUGACCAUACAAGAAUUACACAGAAGGAUACUUUAAGAAAGGUCUCGAUGGAACAUCGCAUCUCUUGAAUUUCAGGAUAUAAAAUUUGUGUGUUUCUUAGCAUCAAUUUAGUCUGUUCUUGGCUCUGCAAUAACUAAACCUACGUACCAAAACUAUAUCUAUAUCUCUCAUAUAUACAAAGAAUAUAUAGAAAGAAUAGCGUGUGAAAAAAAAAAAAAAAAGAAGAAAGAAUAGCGUGUGUGCAUGCGUUCAUAUGUAUUAAUGUAUAUGUGUUGAGCUACUCUGUAUUUGGAUCUCUUACAAUGUUAUAAAUCUAAGAAUUCUCUCCUCAAUUUCAGCACUCAAAUUAACGGUAGUUAAAGUGAAAUCUAGGGCUAUAUGCAUGAUUAAGUAAUUAGUCCAUAAUAAAACAAAAGCAGAGAAGAAAAAGUUAAUUACGACAAGUCGUUAAAGUGAGAGUGAGAGAAAGAGAGAGACAACAUUCAUGUGAUCAUCAGUUACAAAGUCUACAAAUUCAGUCCCACACACCAAAGACUAAAACUCCUACCGUCGAUUCUUAGUCGUCCAUUUUUGUCUUCACUUUGCUAUUUCUUCUUCUAAGUAGAAAUCUUGUGAAAAAGAAAGCAUAAAGAAUGGGGACCAAAAUCUCGAUCGAGUUCGAUCCUUAUAUCGAACGAAAGGCUUUCGACGAGACAAAAGUAGGAGUAAAAGGACUCUGUUUUACUUGAACAGAGAGUGAUUUGAUUUCGAACAUCAUUGAUCGACUCAGGGAUGCUAUCAUGCUAAUAUGCUAUGAUCGAAUGCUCAAAGCAUGUGAUGAGUUUAGGAUGUUUGCUCUUUGAGCUUCUCUCAGAAGCACUAGGUUCGAAAUCUGAUAUACUUAAGAGCAUGGAUUGCUUGAAGACUUUGGUUAUGAUCUGCCAUAAUUACCCACCGUGUCCACAAUCAGACCUAACUUUGGGGAUAAGUAAACACUCAGACAGCUCUUUCCUCACGGUUCUUCUUCAAGACAACAUCGGUGGUCUUCAAAUUCUUCAUCAAGACUCUUUGGUCUGAAGAAAACUGGCUAUGCAAAAAGUAAACCAAUGAAUCAAAAAUAAGAAAGCAUAGUCUAUUUCUGUGUGUAUGUGUUGAGCUACUCGGUGUUUGGGUCUUUUUUACUUUAGCCAUACGUAUCAGUCUAUAAGUGAAUGCUUUGAAUUAAUUUGAUCUAAAGAUUCAAAACUUUAUUUAAUCCAUACAUGGACGGUACCGUUAUGGUUCGGAAUGGUUGACCAAGUCCAAACUGUCGUUAAAAUGUUGAACAAUGAGUUGACAUAAAAAAAAAUCUCGUUCCACACAAAAUGGUAGAUGUAACUAUGUAAGUAGUCUAAAAACACUCGUAAUGAAAUGAUCUCUUCAAUUCCAGUAACCAAAUUUCCGGUAAUUAAAGCUUAAUCUUGCAUAAUUGAAAUUUCACCAAUAGUUUUAUGGAGUAUUUCAUAUUUAAAAAACCUUAUGUUUCGUAUCAUGCAAAUUAAACCACAGACGCUCUCAGGGUUGAUUUUCUGAUGGAGACCGAAACACACUGUGUCACUAACCUAUAAACGACAUGGUGCCUUCUACACAUAAAUCUCGAGAAAAGGCUGCAACAAAAAAAGGAAAAAAAAAAAAAACUGGUAGAAAUUUCACCUAAAAUAUCCCAAGGAAAAAAAAGGUAUUCCAAAACCCAAAAUUUUAAAUACACCUCAUUUUUCGGGGUUUUUGGUUGAAAUCUCAAACUUCCAGGUUUUUUUUCGCAAAUUUUCCCACCACACACUAAUGACCUAACUUCAACCGGCGGUUCUCAAUCUUUCCUUUAUUAUCCUCAUUUUGCUUUAUCUUCUUCAAAGCCGAGAUCUUGUAAGAAGAAAAAAAGAACAAAAAAAAAGAUGACCAAAAACUCGAACGAACUCGAUCCUUAUAUCGAGCGCAAAGCUUUCGACGAGACAAAAGGAGGAGUAAAAGGCCUCGUCGACGCUAAAAUCACUGAAGUUCCUCGAAUCUUCCACAUACCUCAAGAUACCUUAACAGACAAGAAACCAUCUGCCUCUGUAUUAGACCUAGAGAUCCCUACCAUCGACUUUGCAAGCGUUCACGUGGACACGGCAUCACGUGAAGCCGUCGUAGAGAAAGUCAAAUACGCGGCGGAGAAGUGGGGAUUCUUCCAGGUGGUCAAUCAUGGUGUUCCUUUAAACGUUCUUGAAGAGAUCAAAGAUGGAGUUCGCAGGUUUCACGAGGAAGAUCCUGAGGUCAAGAAACGAUACUUCUCGCGUGAUAUCGCCAAUAAAAAUUUUGUCUACAACAGUAAUUUCGAUCUAUACAGUCCUUCGCCGUCUGUUAACUGGAGAGAUACUUUCCAGUGUUACAUAGCUCCAGAUCCUCCAACUCCUGAGGAACUCCCAGUGACUUGCAGGUGACGGUAACAUACUUAACAUCUUUUUCUUCACUUAAAUAUAUUUGGAGGUCGCAAUUCACAAACCUAAUCAUCAAUCAGAGCUGCAAACUGCAAUGGCCAUAUAAAUUUCUUAGAGGCUAAGAAGGAUAUGCAUAAGUUUGUAAAGUAUUAUCAAUCGAUUUGAACGUCUAAACUUUGAAAAGAGAGUGAUUGAUUUCUAACAUCAUUGAUUGACUCAGGGAUGCUAUGUUCGAAUACUCAAAGCAUGUGCUGAGUUUAGGUGGUCUGCUCUUAGAGCUUCUCUCAGAAGCCCUAGGUUUGAAUUCUGAGAUCCUUAAGAGCAUGGAUUGCUUAAAGAAUUUGCUCAUGGUCUGCCAUUAUUACCCUCCGUGUCCACAACCAGACCUAACUUUGGGGAUAAGUAAACACUCAGACACCUCUUUCCUCACGGUUCUUCUUCAAGACAACAUCGGUGGUCUUCAAGUUCUUCAUCAAGACUCUUGGGUAGAUGUCGCUCCUCUUCCUGGAGCUCUCAUCAUCAACAUCGGAGAUUUCUUGCAGGUAAAGUAAGAUUAUGAAAUAGAUACUUAAUACAUUAAUCUAAAAUGUGUUUUUUAUUUAUAUAUAUUCCUAAUUUGAUUUCGCAGCUGAUAACGAACGAUAAGUUUGUAAGUGUGGAGCAUAGGGUGCUUGCGAAUAGACAAGGACCAAGAAUUUUUCAGUAGCAAGCUUUUUCAGCUCAAGUAAAGGGCCCGAUUCCACAGUUUAUGGACCGAUGAAAGAGCUUGUGUCUGAAAACAACCCUCCAAAAUAUAGAGACAUAACCUUGAAAGAAUACACAGAAGGAUUCAUUGAGAAAGGUCUCGAUGGAACAUCGCAUCUCUUGAAUUUCAGGAUAUGAAUUCUGUGUGUUUGUUAGCAUCAGUCACUCUGUUCUUGGCUCUUUAAUAAUAAAACCAGUGUACCUAAAGAAAAAUGUGCGUUUCUACGUAAAUGUAAUGAGCUACUCUGUAUUUGGAUCUUUCUACUUUAGCCAAUAAGUAUCCCAUUACGUAGCCAUAAGUGAAUGCAUUGCAUUGAUUUGAUCUAAAGAUUCAAAACUUUAUUUUUGCUUUCUACCUCUUCAGUUCUUGUUUGAGAUUGUGACAAGGAUGAAGUUAUUUUCGUUACCACACCAAUUUUAAUUGCUUAUUUUAUAUAUAUGCCUAUAUGGAAUGGAGAACUAACCAAAGAAAAUGUCGACUCUUACCUGGAUAGUGGAUACUAUCCCACAUCCAUAUUAAUUAAUUUAUAUGGAAUUUAAUUUUUAGAAAGUAAUGAGUUUACGCCUUACGGGUAGCUGUAAAUGACAUUUAAAAUAAUAUACAGUUAUAUUCAUUUAUGCCGAGGACAUUUUUAUAAAACAGGGGAGUAUUUUUUUUAUAUAUAUAAAAUUUUAGUUAUACCUAUUAAAAUGCAUAAGUUAUCUUUUUUUUUUAAUUUUUUAACAUCUGCCAUCUUAAUUAAAAUUAUCUUGAAAGAGUUCAACAUGACCCCAUUUAUGAUGAUCAACUAGUCGAACAAAUUCACCAUGUACAAAGAGCAAUAUUGAAAGAGUUCCAGCUUUUCUUUUGUAAAAAUAUUAGACAACACCUCUUUUGGGGAGUAGUAUUAGGUAGAACUAUAUGCAUAAUUGAGCAAUUAGUCCAUAAUAAACCAAAAUCAGAGAAGAAAAAGUUAACUACGACAAGUCGUUAAAGUGAGCGUGAGAGAAAGAGAGAGACAACGAUCAGUUACAAAGUCUACAAAAACGGACAUAUUCGGUCCCACACACCAAAGACCAAAAUUCCUACCGUCGAUUCUCUUAGUCGUCCAUUUUUGUCUUCACUUUGCUAUAUCUUCUUCUUAAGUAGAAAUCUUAUGAAAAAGAAAGCAAAAAGAAUGAAUGGUGACCUAAAACUCGAUCGAGUUCGAUCCUUAUAUCGAACGAAAGGCUUUCAGCGAGACAAAAGAAGGAGUAAAACUGUAAAAGGACUCGUCGACGCUAAAAUCACCGAAGUCCCUCGAAUCUUCCACGUCCCGAAAGAUUCCUCAACAGACAAGAAACCAUCUGUCUCUGUUUCAGACCUAGAGAUCCACAAAAAUGCACAUGCUCGGUCCCACACACUAAUGACCAAAUGCUAACCGUCGGUUCUCUUUUUGUUUUUUUAUCCACAUUUUGCUUUAUCUUCUUCAAAACAGACAUCUUGUAAGAAAACAAAAAAAAAAGAAGGAAAAAGAUGGUGACCGAAAACUCGAUCGAAUUCGAUCCUUAUGUCGAGCGCAAAGCUUUCGACGAGACAAAAGAAGGAGUCAAAGGCCUCGUCGACGCUAAAAUCACAGAGGUCCCACGAAUCUUCCACGUCCCGCAAGAUUCCGCAACAGACAAGAAACCCUCUGUUUCUGUUUCCGACCUAGAGAUCCCUACCAUCGACUUCGCAAGCGUCCACGUGGACACGGCGUCACGUGAAGCCGUCGUAGAGAAAGUCAAAUACGCGGCGGAGAAGUGGGGGUUCUUCCAGGUGAUCAAUCAUGGUGUUCCUUUACACGUUCUUGAAGAGACCAAAGAUGGAGUUCGCAGGUUUCACGAGGAAGAUCCUGAGGUCAAGAAACGAUAUUUCUCGCGUGAUUCCGCCAGUAAAAAGUUUUUCUACAACAGUAAUUUCGAUCUAUACAGUUCUUCUCCGUCUGUUAGCUGGAGAGAUACUUUCACUUGUUUCAUAGCUCCAGAACCUCCUUCUCCUGAGGAACUCCCAGUGACUUGCAGGUGACGGUAACAUACUUGACAUAUUUUUUUCUUUUUCUUAAAUAUGCCUGUGAUUUGAAAAAGGUUGUAAAGAAAUUAGUGUUUUAACCGGUUAAUUUUCUUAUGGUGUAAGCCGGAUUGGACAGUACUCUUGUAUGCAUCAAGCACAAAAUUAAUCGUUGACUAGUACUAAAUUAUUAUGUGAGUCCUUUAAAAGAUAGUGAUUUGAUUUAUAACAUCAUUGAUUGACUCAGGGAUGCUGUGAUCGAAUACUCAAAGCAUGUGAUGGUUUUAGGUGGUUUGCUCUUUGAGCUACUCUCAGAAGCCCUAGGUUUGAAUUCUGAUAUACUUAAGAGCAAGGAUUGCUUAAAGUCUUUGCUCAUGCUCGGCCAUUAUUACCCACCUUGUCCACAACCUGACCUAACUUUGGGGAUAAAUAAACACUCAGACAACUCUUUCCUCAGUGUUCUUCUUCAAGACAACAUCGGUGGUCUUCAAGUUCUUCAUCAAGACUCUUGGGUUGAUGUCGCUCCUCUUCCUGGAGCUCUCGUCAUCAAUAUCGGAGAUUUCUUGCAG
Molecule: long non-coding RNA, 6318 nt
Filed under: Eutrema salsugineum
Lineage: Eukaryota; Viridiplantae; Streptophyta; Magnoliopsida; Brassicales; Brassicaceae
Description: long non-coding RNA (ESAL_LNC001147)
Source: RNAcentral